AUAUUCAGUAAUAUUCAGUUGGUUCAUACACAAUUUCACCAGCAGAUGGGAGACAUUCUUACACAAUGUAGCUUUAAGAGUUUGAAUUUCUAAUGUGGCAACCAG
Etheostoma spectabile (orangethroat darter) is the source of this 105-nucleotide long non-coding RNA. RefSeq lists it as uncharacterized. Lineage: Eukaryota; Metazoa; Chordata; Actinopteri; Perciformes; Percidae. The transcript is spliced from 4 exons. The record is from RefSeq and is a predicted model, not a curated record.